GACAUCCCUCCACACACAACUAAACUACAGAAAAGAUGAAUUUCUCUUCAAGAAAACAAUUCAUUUUCCUCAUUGCAUUAACUAUAGUACUAGUUGUUGUUCCAAGAACAAUCUUGGCACAAAACUGUGGAUGUGCAGAAAGCUUGUGCUGCAGCAAAUGGGGCUUUUGUGGUACUGGAAAUGAUUUCUGCGGGCAAGGAUGUCAAGGAGGUCCUUGUUUUAGUGCUUCACUAUCAAGCAACGGAGGUUCAGUUGCUGAUGUUGUUUCUAAUGCAUUCUUCAAUGGAAUAGCAGAUCAAGCUGCUUCUACCUGUGAAGGAAAAGGGUUUUACACAAGGGCUAACUUCCUUGAAGCUCUUCAAUCUUAUCCCAAUUUUGGUACUAUGGGUUCUACCGAUGAUUCUAAGCGUGAGAUUGCUGCUUUUUUUGCUCACGUCACCCAUGAAACCGGACACAUGUGCUUCAUAAAUGAGAUAAAUGGUCCUUCAGGCGACUAUUGUGAUGAGGACAACACAGAGUACCCUUGUGUCUCAGGCAAGAACUACUACGGUCGAGGACCCAUCCAACUAUCAUGGAACUUCAACUAUGGACCUGCCGGAAAAUCCAUAGGAUUCGAUGGCUUAAAUGACCCUGACAUUGUGGCUAGAGAUGCUGUUAUUUCCUUCAAGACUGCCCUGUGGUAUUGGAUGAACAAUUGCCAUUCUCUCAUUACUUCUGGCCAAGGUUUUGGCCCAACCAUUCGAGCCAUUAAUGGCCAGAUUGAAUGUGACGGAGGCAACCCUCANGUGUGACGGCGGCAACCCGCAGACUGUUGCCAGAAGGGUUGAGUAUUAUACUGAGUAUUGUCAACAACUAGGCGUGGAGACUGGGGAUAAUCUCACUUGUUAGCACCCCAAGUAAUUAAAGAGGUUGAAUGAAAGAAUAACCAGAGAUUUUAAUUAUUAGUUGCUCCACGGUUGUGAGGCUUACAUAUAUAUGUUGUGAGAAUUGAAUAAGACUCCAUUAUACAUAAUUUUAUUUUAAAAAGAAAUAUAUGAUUAUAUACUACACAGUUGGAGAUGCAA
This is a non-coding RNA of Nicotiana tabacum (common tobacco), 1064 nucleotides long. The record is from RefSeq and is a predicted model, not a curated record. Lineage: Eukaryota; Viridiplantae; Streptophyta; Magnoliopsida; Solanales; Solanaceae.